This 374-nucleotide long non-coding RNA is filed under the name Malus domestica (apple). Its description in RNAcentral is "long non-coding RNA (MDOM_LNC016312)". The record is from RNAcentral. Lineage: Eukaryota; Viridiplantae; Streptophyta; Magnoliopsida; Rosales; Rosaceae.
GCUCAAUUGCAAACUCUCCUUGGUGUAUCUCUGAUAGAGGUUUUAUCACGACAUUCAACUGAUGAGGUUUAUCUUGGGCAAAACGAUACUCCUGAGUGGACUUCAGAUGCUGAAGCACUAGCAGCAUUUGCAAGAUUUGGAGAGAAGCUGAUGGACAUCGAAAAGGGAAUCAAUGAAAGGAACAAGGAUAUGAGAUUGAAGAACAGAGUUGGGCCUGUAGACAUGCCUUAUACCUUGCUCUAUCCUAACACAUCAGACACGAGCAGAGAGGGUGGACUCACUGGAAAAGGAAUUCCCAACAGUGUCUCAAUCUGAACCUUUUGAUCUGUAUACUAGAUGAAUAUUUUUGAAGUAAUAAUAGUGUGACAUCGUAC